Molecule: ribosomal RNA, 465 nt
Filed under: Vreelandella stevensii
Lineage: Bacteria; Pseudomonadati; Pseudomonadota; Gammaproteobacteria; Oceanospirillales; Halomonadaceae
Description: partial 16S ribosomal RNA
Rfam family: Bacterial small subunit ribosomal RNA
Source: RNAcentral
CCUACGGGGUGCAGCAGUGGGGAAUAUUGGACAAUGGGCGAAAGCCUGAUCCAGCCAUGCCGCGUGUGUGAAGAAGGCCUUCGGGUUGUAAAGCACUUUCAGUGGGGAAGAAAGCCUUGGGGCUAAUACCCUCGAGGAAGGACAUCACCCACAGAAGAAGCACCGGCUAACUCCGUGCCAGCAGCCGCGGUAAUACGGAGGGUGCGAGCGUUAAUCGGAAUUACUGGGCGUAAAGCGCGCGUAGGCGGUCUGAUAAGCCGGUUGUGAAAGCCCCGGGCUCAACCUGGGAACGGCAUCCGGAACUGUCAGGCUAGAGUGCAGGAGAGGAAGGUAGAAUUCCCGGUGUAGCGGUGAAAUGCGUAGAGAUCGGGAGGAAUGCCAGUGGCGAAGGCGGCCUUCUGGACUGACACUGACGCUGAGGUGCGAAAGCGUGGGUAGCAAACAGGAUUAGAUACCCCGGUAGUC